RNAcentral lists this long non-coding RNA (306 nucleotides) under Androctonus crassicauda. The record is from RNAcentral. Lineage: Eukaryota; Metazoa; Arthropoda; Arachnida; Scorpiones; Buthidae.
UCUUUUUUUGUGCAAUCUGUGGUAUUUUACAAUCAAAAUUAUGCCACAUAGCAAACAAGCAACAAAACAAGCACUUAGAAUUAAAAAAAGAAGCAAAUCAAGAGGAAGGAGUGGAGGCAGAAAAUCAAAAUCAGCAGAUUUGAACAAAAAUAAUAUGAAUAUGGAAAAUAUUCUGGAUUUAAAAACAGAGGAAAAUAUUCAGAAUGAUUUAUUACACGAAAGUGAAAGGAUUUCUAAAGAAUUAACAGAUGAAUCUCUAAAAGAAGUGACUUCCUAUCAAAAGCAACAGUAUUUUCAGGAUACCAG